Molecule: ribosomal RNA, 498 nt
Filed under: uncultured bacterium
Lineage: Bacteria
Description: partial 16S ribosomal RNA
Rfam family: Bacterial small subunit ribosomal RNA
Source: RNAcentral
AUUGAACGCUAGCGGCAUGCUUUACACAUGCAAGUCGAACGGUGACAGGCCGCAAGGUGCUGACGAGUGGCGAACGGGUGAGUAAUGCAUAGGAACGUGCCCAGGCGUGGGGGAUAACGCAGCGAAAGCGGUGCUAAUACCGCAUACGAACUAUGGAAGAAAUCGGGGGACCGUAAGGACUCGGGCGGUGGGGGCGGCAGAUGUCAGAUUAGGAAGUCGGUGGGGUAAAGGCUCACUAAGCCAACGAUCUGUAGCUGGUCUGAGAGGACGACCAGACACACUGGGACUGAGACACGGCCCAGACUCCUACGGGAGGCAGCAGUGGGGAAUUUUGGACAAUGGGCGCAAGCCUGAUCCAGCAAUGCCGCGUGCAGGAAGAAGGCCUUCGGGUUGUAAACUGCUUUUGUACGGAACGAAACGGUCUGGGUUAAUACCUCGGGCUAAUGACGGUACCGUAAGAAUAAGCACCGGCUAACUACGUGCCAGCAGCCGCAGUAA